AAUGUUGGAAAUAGGAUCUGCUUCGAGUAGACUUGUAUAAACUGGUUUUUAUGGGACUUGUAGUUCCACAUGUUCGAAGGCUAACUAAUUAGGGAAGACAAUAUUAAGAGCUUUUAUAGAUCUAUUGAGAUUCAAAGUUCUUUUAAAUAAAUAUGUGUUAAUGUAAGUUUUCUUAUAGUAGGGCUGACGGAAUUUACUAAGUUCCUUUACUAAGGAAUGAAGCCGGAUUUCUGGAGAUGAAUAAUGGCUAAUGAUGGUCAUCUUGAAAGUAAUAAUGGUUUAAUUUAUAGUUAUCUUCAGAAGACAUCUUUUGGACAGCCAUUUUAGCUGAAGUUCCCAUUACUAAAGAAAUAAAGAUGCCACCAUGUGAUGAUCCUGAUGGGAACACUGACCUUAAAUCUGAACAUGAAUCCAGUGGAAAUAACAGCCGAAGCAAGUACAGAAAAGCCUUAAAAUUUGAUAUGAAGAUGACUCCAGGGGUGGAAAAAUUGGGCUCUAGGCCUGCUCACUUGAGUUCAAAAGAAACGGAGAAAAGCCUGUCUGCCUCUAUUUCAUGCCAACUAAACCAGUGUGGCAGACAGUUUUGUUCUGAGAAGAAUUUGAUGUACAAUACACCUUUGCCUUCUUCACUAGUUGCUUGAGAUUUCCAACAUUCUGUGGAUACAGCUGCUCUCUUCACCUCUGGUUGCUUGUAUUGUCAGCUCCUUAUCUGGUUGAGGGAAAAGCCUGUUGAAAUCAUGCUUUCCUUGAAAAAAGAAAUUGAUAUCUGUCAUCUUUUGUAAGGAAGAGAGGGGCUAAUGCCCUCUAUGGGGAUGAUUAAAAUAUAGCUGUUCCACCAAAGAAAGAUGAAUGUGUAGCAAUUCUUUAGUUUGUUCUGUUGCUAAUUUCAGGUGUGCUAUUUUUUUGCUUCAU
Molecule: long non-coding RNA, 912 nt
Organism: Ahaetulla prasina
Lineage: Eukaryota; Metazoa; Chordata; Lepidosauria; Squamata; Colubridae
Exons: 3
Source: RefSeq, a predicted model, not a curated record